UUUUUCAAAUUCGGAUAUCUGAAUCUUCGAUCGGAUCUCCGUUCUCCAUUCGGGGCGGGGAUGGAGGACCGAAAAUAUAUCCGAUUGGGGAUAAGGGCGGAUUUGGAGGUCAGGUGGAAGGUUCGGAUUGGGAUAUGUCAAUAUCCGCCUCCGAUCCGCCCCAUUGCCAUCCCUAUUUAGGGCUGAUAAACGAAUUAACCGCUCAUUUUCACUAGUUAAAAACUCGUUUGAGAUAGGUUGCUACAUAAACAAAUCAAUCUGGAACAUCUUUUUGAGCUCAUUAAACUUUCGAACCAUGCUCGGACUAAUUUCAUCUCACUACAACAAAUAUGACAAUUCAUAGCGUUAGUCUAUAGCGUUUUUUCAAGAAAGCUAUCUAUUCCCCAGAAAAAUGCGCACCUAUUUGUUCGCCCGCUAUCUUCUCCCCGGAAAAAUGCCCGCCUACUUUUUCGCUAACAUUUUGAAUGAAUCACGUUCACAUCAACCUCCAACCCCCAAUUUCUCUCUCUCUCUCUCUCUCUCUCUCUCUCUCUCCCACACACACACACACAAAUGAUGAAUCCGAUGACAGUCAAGCAGAAAUCCUACACAUCUUCGCCUAUCUUUGCUCCAAAUAAACAAGCCCUAAAUCACAGUCCAGCAGAAACCCAGUUUCAAAAUUGUACCCUUCAUUGACUUCUAGAUCUGGUUCUUUCUUCAGAGCAAACGAAGAGAACUCUCUGAGAUUCGUUCUUCAACUACUCUGUUGUGCGGCUUGCGCCCACUUGGUUGCCCCGAUUCUGAGAGUUCGAUGCCGUUAACGCACUUCUUCGCUGGAGAAUUAUCUAUUUGGACUCCCACAGGUUGUAAGUCUCUAUCUCUCUCUCUCUCUCUCUCUCACACACACACACACACACACACUAAAUAGCUCGAUUUUUGGCUUAAUCUGUGAUUCUUGUAAUUGUAAUUGGUUCACAACAUCUUGAGACUGAGUUAUUUUAUGGAGAUCCCUAUGAAUGUUACUACUACUAUACCUGGCCAUUAUCACUUCUCUUUGUUUUGUCAUAAGAUUAUCCCUUUUCCAUUUCCCUGCUAACAACUCUAUUGUGCUUCUUGGCCCCCAAGGUUGUGGUAAAAAUGUGGUACUAAUCAAUGCCCCUCUAUGAAUCUUAGAAGUUAAUUGUUGCGACUACUUAUUAGUAAUAUAUUUUUUUUUGUUUAUUUAUAUGUUGACUUGGAUAUUUAUAUGUUGACAUGUCAAUCUUUGUUUAUUCUACUAUAUACAGGUCAAACAAUUGUAAGGCCAUGGCUUCUUGUUUAUUUUACUAUAUAUUGCGAUAGUCACCUUAAUCAUUUAAUUUGGUUUUUGGUAAUACAAUUAUGCGAAGGAAUUGAAAAAAGUUGACUAGUCCAUGCACCAUAUUCAGCUUCAACUAAUCUGUUGUUUUUUUUUUUUUUUUUGGUUAUGGUCCAUUCACCAAAUGCACCAAAUUCUCUUGAUUUUUGACUUUCUCUUGUAGCUUUCACAUUACUGUAUAAUGUAUACUGAGUGUCCAUCACCGUUUACCCUAAAGCCCAAACAACACAUCAGCUGGGGUCAAAUACUUAAUAAAGAGCUAGGGAUUUACCCCCAUAGUCAGUUUUUAGUCCAUCUUUGCUUUUUUAUGAGCAAACUGAUUUUGUCAUAAUCGUAGUGUAACAUUACCAGUGGAUUUAUGCUAGUUAUACUUCUUGAAUGUAAAAGUUCAGCAAAUUGUGGUCUAUUGGUCGUUACUGCCUUAUAUGGAUAGGUGUUUGACUCUUUGUUGCCUGCAGUGUAUAGCUGAUUUUGAUUUUCUUUCUUUGGUUCACCAUUUGAAGUCUGUUUUUGGUUUACCUUGCAUCUUUGUUCCACUUUAAUUAAUAUUACACUGUUACCUUUCCAUGAUUAUUCCUUGAAGCUGAAAUGGCAAGGAGACAAGCUUUGUUUCCUGGUUUCCUGGAGACUCUGAGUUCCAGCAGCUGCUUCACAUAUUCAGGAUGAUGGGAACACCAACGGAUAAGCAGUGGCCAGGAGUCAGUUCUCUACAGGACUGGCAUGUGUAUCCCCAGUGGGAGCCUCAGAACUUGGCAUGUGCCGUUCCAGCAUUAGAACCUGAUGGUCUCGAUCUUUUAUCGAUAACGACUUAAUGCUCGAAUUUCGCUUCUUUUAGGUGCUUUAUAUCCACAAGAAGCUGGGACUUGCUAUUCUUUUGCUUAGUAUUGUUAUAAAUUUCUUUUUUAUAUAUUAGUAUAGAUAGAUUAUAGUCAUGCCUUGAAAUAUGAAAUAUGAAAUAUGAUGAGAUUUUUAGUAUUGUUAUAAAUUUCUGGCUAAGUGUUGAAGUGAAAGUCUCCAAUGAAAACCAGUAGUUUGAUUCUUCUUUUGUGGUGACUGGUAUGAUUUUACGAGAAGCAGUUCAGUGUGUGUUUACUCUCUUUUCAUUUGAGAAGUUUUAUAUGGAAUCCCAUACUCGACUAGAAAUCCGUCAGAAUACUCUUACAUGAUUCUAGUACUGUGGUUUCUUCCAUUUUGGAAAUGAUUUUUGGAGCAGUUUAUCUCAAUGAUUUUGGUUUUCUGUGUUAACUGGAUCAAAUGUGGGCUACUGCCACCUCUUAUUACUGAUGAGAUCAUCUUUGCAAUGUUAAUUUCAGGAAGUACUAGCUGCCGAUGUCACAGAUCAUAUCUUUGCAAUUGUUUUCUUCGGACUUCUACUACAUGCUACAUCUUUUCGGGGAUGAUUUUUGCUGGUACAACUUCUAAUACAACUUCAACCUACGGGCAUGUUUCUCAUAUUUUGGAGGGUUUCAAGUAGCCCAUUUAUGUGGUUGGCUUUGGGAGCAGAAAGGGUAUAGCCUCGGCAAAGAAGCAAGCUUCAAGUAAAGAAAAUCUGUGGAAUGAGAUAGUUGGCCAAGUGCAUGAUUACAUUUUCAGGAAAAUAGAAUUGCAUUAGUUAUUUUUUAAUGAGUCCAAUUAGUUGGGCUCUUUUAUGUAGUUUUUUUGUUGGGAAAUUGUUUCCCAAGCUAAUGUAAUGAAUCUUUAUUGUAUAUUGACAUUUGGGUAUAGUUGGUGUUGAAUGGAAUAAAUCAUUUUUGUUUCUUAAAUAAAA
This is a long non-coding RNA of Rhododendron vialii, 3104 nucleotides long. RefSeq lists it as uncharacterized. The record is from RefSeq and is a predicted model, not a curated record. NCBI's taxonomy places the organism in Eukaryota, Viridiplantae, Streptophyta, Magnoliopsida, Ericales, Ericaceae. The transcript has 3 exons.